RNAcentral lists this ribosomal RNA (440 nucleotides) under uncultured bacterium. RNAcentral describes it as "partial 16S ribosomal RNA". It matches the Rfam family "Bacterial small subunit ribosomal RNA", at positions 338 to 795 of the family's 1533-position model. The record is from RNAcentral.
CCUACGGGAGGCAGCAGUGGGGGAUAUUGCACAAUGGGGGGAACCCUGAUGCAGCGACGCCGCGUGGGUGAAGAAGCGCCUCGGCGCGUAAAGCCCUGUCAGUAGGGAAGAAAAUGACGGUACCUGUAGACGAAGCGCCUGCUAACUACGUGCCAGCAGCCGCUGUAAUACGUAGGGGGCAAGCGUUAAACGGAUUUACUGGGGGUAGAGGGGGCGCUGACGGCGAUGCAAGCCAGGAGUGAAAGCUCGGGGCCCAACCCCGGGACUGCUCUUGGAACUGAGUGGCUGGAGUGCAGGAGAGGCAGGCGGAAUUCCUGGUGUAGCGGUGAAAUGCGUAGAUAUCAGGAGGAACACCGGUGGCGAAGGCGGCCUGCUGGACUGCAACUGACGUUGAGGCCCGAAAGCGUGGGGAGCAAACAGGAUUAGAUACCCUUGUAGUC